UAACACGUGGGUAAUCUGCCUGUAAGACGGGGAUAACUCCGGGAAACCGGGGCUAAUACCGGAUAACAAGAGAAGAAGCAUUUCUUCUUUUUGAAAGUCGGUUUCGGCUGACACUUACAGAUGAGCCCGCGGCGCAUUAGCUAGUUGGUGAGGUAACGGCUCACCAAGGCGACGAUGCGUAGCCGACCUGAGAGGGUGAUCGGCCACACUGGGACUGAGACACGGCCCAGACUCCUACGGGAGGCAGCAGUAGGGAAUCUUCGGCAAUGGGCGAAAGCCUGACCGAGCAACGCCGCGUGAGCGAUGAAGGCCUUCGGGUCGUAAAGCUCUGUUGUUAGAGAAGAACAAGUACGAGAGUAACUGCUCGUACCUUGACGGUACCUAACCAGAAAGCCACGGCUAACUACGUGCCAGCAGCCGCGGUAAUACGUAGGUGGCAAGCGUUAUCCGGAAUUAUUGGGCGUAAAGCGCGCGCAGGCGGUCUCUUAAGUCUGAUGUGAAAGCCCACGGCUCAACCGUGGAGGGUCAUUGGAAACUGGGAGACUUGAGUGCAGGAGAGAAAAGUGGAAUUCCACGUGUAGCGGUGAAAUGCGUAGAGAUGUGGAGGAACACCAGUGGCGA
Molecule: ribosomal RNA, 621 nt
Filed under: Fictibacillus sp.
Lineage: Bacteria; Bacillati; Bacillota; Bacilli; Caryophanales; Fictibacillaceae
Description: bacterial SSU rRNA
Rfam family: Bacterial small subunit ribosomal RNA
Source: RNAcentral